UGGGGAAUUUUGGACAAUGGGGGAAACCCUGAUCCAGCCAUCCCGCGUGUGCGAUGAAGGCCUUCGGGUUGUAAAGCACUUUUGGCAGGAAAGAAACGUCGCGGGUUAAUACCCCGCGAAACUGACGGUACCUGCAGAAUAAGCACCGGCUAACUACGUGCCAGCAGCCGCGGUAAUACGUAGGGUGCAAGCGUUAAUCGGAAUUACUGGGCGUAAAGCGUGCGCAGGCGGUUCGGAAAGAAAGAUGUGAAAUCCCAGAGCUUAACUUUGGAACUGCAUUUUUAACUACCGGGCUAGAGUGUGUCAGAGGGAGGUGGAAUUCCGCGUGUAGCAGUGAAAUGCGUAGAUAUGCGGAGGAACACCGAUGGCGAAGGCAGCCUCCUGGGAUAACACUGACGCUCAUGCACGAAAGCGUGGGGAGCAAACAGGAUUAGAUACCCUGGUAGUCCACGCCCUAAACGAUGUCAACUAGCUGUUGGGGCCUUCGGGCCUUGGUAGCGCAGCUAACGCGUGAAGUUGACCGCCUGGGGAGUACGGUCGCAAGAUUAAAACUCAAAGGAAUUGACGGGGUCGAUANCU
RNAcentral lists this ribosomal RNA (579 nucleotides) under uncultured bacterium. RNAcentral's name for it is "partial 16S ribosomal RNA". It matches the Rfam family "Bacterial small subunit ribosomal RNA", at positions 355 to 927 of the family's 1533-position model. The record is from RNAcentral.